GUGAGGAAUAUUGGUCAAUGGGCGGGAGCCUGAACCAGCCAAGUCGCGUGAAGGAAGAAGGAUCUAUGGUUCGUAAACUUCUUUUGCAGGGGAAUAAAGUGCAGGACGUAUCCUGUUUUGUAUGUACCCUGAGAAUAAGGAUCGGCUAACUCCGUGCCAGCAGCCGCGGUAAUACGGAGGAUCCGAGCGUUAUCCGGAUUGAUUGGGUUUAAAGGGUGCGUAGGUGGUUUGAUAAGUCAGCGGUGAAAGUUUGCAGCUUAACUGUAAAAAUGCCGUUGAAACUGUCGGACUUGAGUGUAAAUGAGGUAGGCGGAAUGCGUGGGGUAGCGGUGAAAUGCAUAGAUAUCACGCAGAACUCCGAUUGCGAAGGCAGCUUACUAAGCUACAACUGACACUGAAGCACGAAAGCGUGGGGAUCAAACAGGAUUAGAUACCCUGGUAGUCC
Molecule: ribosomal RNA, 445 nt
Filed under: uncultured bacterium
Lineage: Bacteria
Description: partial 16S ribosomal RNA
Rfam family: Bacterial small subunit ribosomal RNA
Source: RNAcentral